Molecule: long non-coding RNA, 524 nt
Organism: Helianthus annuus (common sunflower)
Lineage: Eukaryota; Viridiplantae; Streptophyta; Magnoliopsida; Asterales; Asteraceae
Exons: 3
Source: RefSeq, a predicted model, not a curated record
GCAAUCAUCUUCUUCCCCUUUUGAUCUGAAACGCGAUCCGUUAUGCAUAAAACACGACCCGAACAUACGAAAUGUUUUAUCUGAUGAUUAGACUCUGUUUUAAUGCCAAUUAAAUCGCAAUGAUGGAGAGUGAUGGUCUAGCAACAUAAUCGUUUCCUUUCAAACUCCAAUCGGUUGAUUAGGAUUCAAUUAUUCACACCAUUAAAACACUAUCAAGAACAUAUUUGGGUAUCUUUUAUUCCGCAAAUCACCAAACAAGGCCUAUACCAUACGAUUCUUCUGGCCAAACCAUGUAAAACCCCACUGAAAUUUCCUCGUUUUAUCAACUGUACAUCGCGAAUUGGAUCAAAGAACAUUCUAGGGCUCCAAACUUCACGUGGCGAUAUCAUCUUCAAUUCUUAACCUUUUUCAGGGUGAUUUAGUCAAUCGUUAUACCUCGUGUACUCGUGCGAUAAUUCUCGUGGGUUAACUCUUCGCAACCUGUUUUCAAAGUUGAUGAUCAAGUGAUGUGGACACGUAGCAUG